UACAGAGGUCUCAAGCGUUGUUCGGAUUCAUUGGGCAUAAAGGGUGUGUAGGUGGCGCCGUAAGUCGGGUGUGAAAUCUCGGGGCUUAACUCCGAAACUGCAUUCGAUACUGCGGUGCUUGAGGACUGGAGGGGAGACUGGAAUUCAUGGUGUAGCAGUGAAAUGCGUAGAGAUCAUGAGGAAGACCAGUGGCGAAGGCGGGUCUCUGGACAGUUCCUGACACUGAGACACGAAGGCCAGGGGAGCAAACGGG
RNAcentral lists this ribosomal RNA (253 nucleotides) under uncultured bacterium. RNAcentral's name for it is "partial 16S ribosomal RNA". It matches the Rfam family "Bacterial small subunit ribosomal RNA", at positions 524 to 776 of the family's 1533-position model. The record is from RNAcentral.